This 517-nucleotide ribosomal RNA is filed under the name uncultured bacterium. RNAcentral describes it as "partial 16S ribosomal RNA". It matches the Rfam family "Bacterial small subunit ribosomal RNA", at positions 355 to 887 of the family's 1533-position model. The record is from RNAcentral.
UGGGGAAUAUUGGACAAUGGGCGCAAGCCUGAUCCAGCCAUGCCGCGUGAGUGAUGAAGGCCUUAGGGUUGUAAAGCUCUUUCGCCGACGAAGAUAAUGACGGUAGUCGGAGAAGAAGCCCCGGCUAACUUCGUGCCAGCAGCCGCGGUAAUACGAAGGGGGCUAGCGUUGUUCGGAAUCACUGGGCGUAAAGCGCACGUAGGCGGAUUGUUAAGUCAGGGGUGAAAGCCUGGAGCUCAACUCCAGAACUGCCCUUGAUACUGGCAAUCUCGAGUCCGGAAGAGGGUAAGUGGAACUGCGAGUGUAGNGGUGAAAUUCGUAGAUAUUCGCAAGAACACCAGUGGCGAAGGCGGCUUACUGGUCCGGUACUGACGCUGAGGUGCGAAAGCGUGGGGAGCAAAACAGGAUUAGAUACCCUGGUAGUCCACGCCGUAAACGAUGGAGGCUAGCCGUUGGCGAGCAUGCUCGUCAGUGGCGCAGCUAACGCAUUAAGCCUCCCGCCUGGGGGAGUACGGUC